GUUAUACCAAGUGAUUAAGUUAUACCUAUAGGUAAAAAGACAGUUAGAUUUACAUAAAUUUAGUUGGAUAAUCAUUUGUGUAAAAGUAAAAUUUGAACACAAAUAGUUAAUCUAAUAACAACUUUAUAUAUUGAAGCUGUGAUAGUCUUGAGGGAAACUGGGAUUAGAUACCCCAUUAUUCUUGACUGUAAAUAGAAUUAAUUUUACCAGAGUACUAUGAAUAGUUAAAAAUUUAAAACUCAAAGGGCUUGGCGGUGUUUUAGACCUAUCAGGGGAACCUGUCUCGUAAUCGACAAUCCACGUUAUACCUAACCUUAUUUUGUAUUCAGUUUGUAUACCGUCGUCGUCAGGUAACUUUUAAAAAUAAAGAAGUUAGCAGCAUAAACCUUUAAGUUAAAACGUCAGAUCAAGGUGCAGCUUAUAAUAAGGAGAGGAUGGGUUACAAUUAUUAAAAUUAUAAUUACGGAAAUUUAAAUGAAAAUAUAUCUUUAAGGAGGACUUGAAAGUAAACUAAAGUACAUAAAUAAAUUGAAUAAGGCUCUG
This 543-nucleotide ribosomal RNA is filed under the name Phrontis alba. RNAcentral's name for it is "partial 12S ribosomal RNA". Lineage: Eukaryota; Metazoa; Mollusca; Gastropoda; Neogastropoda; Nassariidae. The record is from RNAcentral.